UGGGAAGCUAUAGCUUUGGGCUCCUCUGAAGGUAGUUUUACAACACACAUUGACAUUUUUGAUGCACGAGGCUUCUAUACCAGGAUGGCUCCCUAAUCUUCCCACUGUGGAUAUUUCCUUGUACCUGAGCUGGUGAGAAGAUGGGAGGGGGCAAGAGAGAUGGAAAGCUGCUGGACUGCGGUAUGCACUCCUGUGAGGACCACUCCACUGAAAAGGAAUGCCCAGUGCUGCCCUUCCUGACCUAUAUCCUUUUAAGUAUAUGGAUGACAACUAGGGUCCAUGGUAGUCUUGAUUCUGGGAAGAUGAGGUGGCCUACAGGACCAAGAGACCAAAGCUGUAUCGAGUGAGUCAGACUAUCUAGUUGGAACCAGAGUUCCCUCUGUUGCCAGUGUCAGUAAGGAAUUCCUCCAUGGGAGUUCCACACUUGAAUAGAGCUAGCUGAUCACAGAAGAGAAGGUCAGAGAGAUGCAUUCAGGCCGGCCUGGAAAAAAGCAAACAUUCAUAUUGGGAACUACCACUGGUGGCGACAUGUUACCGAACUGCAAGCAGUAUCUGGAAGCUAAGAGUCAUCCCUGGUCAACAACUAACAGGACAACAGGGACCUUAAUCCUACAGUUACAAGGACUGCCAACAAGUGACCUUGGAUAAAGACCCUAAGCCCCAGAUGAGAACUGAAACCCUGGCAACACCUUGAUUUCAGUGAGAUCCUAUACAGAGAAUCUAGCCACACUGUGGCCUGGACUUCUGACCUACAAUAACUAUGAGAUAAUAAAUGUGUUCUUUUUAGCCACUAAAUUUGUGAUAAUUUUUUAUGCAGCAUUUAAAAAGUAACACAAUCUGCAUAAUAAAUUCCUACAAAUGAAAUUGCUAGAUCAAGGGGACAUGCACUUAAAAUUUAUAAAUAUAUUACAAAAU
This 915-nucleotide long non-coding RNA is filed under the name Homo sapiens (human). Its description in RNAcentral is "HSALNT0345632". The record is from RNAcentral. Lineage: Eukaryota; Metazoa; Chordata; Mammalia; Primates; Hominidae.